RNAcentral lists this ribosomal RNA (2255 nucleotides) under Triticum aestivum (bread wheat). Its description in RNAcentral is "partial small subunit ribosomal RNA". The record is from RNAcentral. Lineage: Eukaryota; Viridiplantae; Streptophyta; Magnoliopsida; Poales; Poaceae.
CUCUUGGUCUUUUUAUUAGGGCGUGGGGUAGCAGCAUAUCUAUCUAUCACCUACUGACCCGGUCAAAAUUGAUCGCCAACGAAAAUACUACCAGCAAACUCUUUCUCCCCCGAUCCGGGUGACACGGGGGCAGAUAACCUAGCGCCGCCCCUUCUCCACUAUACGCCCUCCCACGUCUUGCCGCCGCCAUAGGUGGCCGCCGGCGAAGCUCAGCUGGCUCCGAGGACGGCGGCGGCGGGCUGUUUCUCCAGCUGAGCUACUCCUUCUAUCUGCGGAGGGCAGGUGGCUGAGGCCGUCGGCAGGCGCUCGGGUGACGGAUCUGCGAGUAGGGGGUGCAGGCGGCUGUCCUGAGGUGGUGGUGCCGGCGGCGGCGCAUGGGGCUGACCUCCGGUGGUCGCGCGACGGCAGCGGCUGGGCGGGCCAGAUCUGGCCCCGCCAGGGCCGGCGUCUCUCUUUCAUUUUACUCUGUUGUCAUUUGGUUUUGUUUGCACGAUGCAUAUACGUUAAUUAACAGUUAACACUGCUGGACUUGGCCAGGAGUGAUUCGAUGGAGGAUGACGAGUGGACAAGUCUUGGCGUGGCUGGACGCUCUUAGCUCCAUGAGGAGGACGGAAGUGGAUCCUCUAACAUACACAAGGAAUGUUAGAGAAGCUACAGUACCCUAACUUUCCUUCUGUUAAUCCAUACAAUUAAGUCUAAAAUAACUUAAAUUAUUUUUUAAAUUACAGAUCUAGUAUGCACAUUCAUAGUAAUUACAUACAAACAAGUUGAUGGUGAGAUAAAGUUAAUUUUAGAUUUUUUAUAUCUACAGUAAUUACCAAAAGUAAAUAACUUGCUAAUAGUCCGUAACAUUCCUUCUUCAUUUUACACUAGACGCGCACUGUAGCACCGUGACAUCCCUUCUCUAAGUUAGAGGAUCCGGCUCCGAGGAGGACAUACUUGAUCCCCAUGGACGCCAAGGAGGCUAGGAUACAGGCAGAGGUAGAGGAGGCAAGGAUGAAGGAGACGGCCGCUGCGCAAAAUUUGAAUAAACUAGAAAUAUCCUGGAAACUUUAAUAUUUGGAGUAUCAAAUUCAGUUUUUUUCUUUGAAUACAUCCUUAAAAUCACUAAGCUCCCUGGGAUUGGAGCUCCUAGGGAUGAUUGAGGUGAUCGAUUUGGUUUGUGUCGUCGAUUUUGACUGGGCCAUUGGUUUCAUGGAAACUUUUUAGUUGACAGCCACGUAUGUUCAUGUUUUUAUACAUAUCUACUGGAGAAAACAUUGUACAUCUUAUGGUGAUUAGAACAAGUACUUCGCUUAUGUAUGGAGAUUUGGUACUCCCUCCGUUUUUAUUUAGUUCGCAUAUUAGUUUUGGUCAAAGUCAAGUUUUGUAAACUUUGACAAAGUUUCUAAACAAAAAUAUUAACAUAUACAAUAACAAAUCAAUACCAUUAGAUUCAUUAUUUAUUAUACUUUCACGUCAUAUAGAUUUGAUAUGGUAAAUGCUUAUAUUGUUUUCUAUAAACUUGAUCAAACUUUACGAAGUUUGACUUCAGUCAAAUCUAAUACGCGAACUAAAUAAAACGGAGGGAGUAUAUGCUUAGGUUAGGUUAUGUUUCUGUUUCUCUCCCCUUAAUUAUUUAUUUUGAGAAACGCACAGUAGUAGUAGUAUGCAGAUUAGAUAUAUGUUUAGGCCAUGUCCUUUUAGUAUAACUCUCUCUCUCUCUCAGCCAUUUUUUUUUUCAAUUUGCCCAGCUUAUGCUUUUAGAGAGGUAUGUUGGUAGAAAUAAGCUUCUUAAAAAAGCAUAUAGUUGCGUUCUUCUUUUGUCACCAAUAGUAAGCACUAAAAAUCAAACAAAACUCAGCCCUUCAUUUUGGGUUUAACAACGAGCAUAGUCCUACAAUCCACUUAGGAAAGUUGAGCUUGUAGGAUUGUUAUGUGCUUUUAAAUAAGUAACCAUACAUACAUAUUAUUUUGUUUGCCAUUUAGAAUUAAAAACUGGUAAAGAUAAGUAUUUAUUCAUAUUCUUGCUCUUUUUAUAUAUAUGUUCAUGCCAUAUUUCAUUAAAUGUUAAAAGUUCAUUCAUAUUCUUGCUCAUUUUACAUGGAUGUUCAUGUCAUACCACCAAAUGCAGGGUAGAAGCAGUUUUUCCCAGAGCACUAAAUGUGGGAGGUGAUUUAGGUAGCAUGUGCGCCUUCACGGUCACUAGAAGAUCCAGGGAACAAAAUGCCGGUUCGCCAGCAGCUGGUCCUUAGAUUGGUUGCCUCUCCUGGUAC